RNAcentral lists this unclassified non-coding RNA (305 nucleotides) under Hevea brasiliensis (rubber tree). The record is from RNAcentral. Lineage: Eukaryota; Viridiplantae; Streptophyta; Magnoliopsida; Malpighiales; Euphorbiaceae.
CGAAUUCUUUGGAUCGGAAUUGGAGAAGAGUAUCUGAUAGGCAGAGCGCUGGGAAUCGUACGAAGCACGCUCCUGCGCGUCUGAGAGAACGUCGUAAGCGUUCACAAGCUCCUGAAAUAUAGCGGUUGCUUCAAAUUCCGGCACGCCGGAUCGGACGAGCUUGUCAGGAUGGCGUUGCAGUGCGAGCUUCCUGAAAGCCGACCUGAUCUCGUUCGGGGUGCAGUCGCAGUUCACGCCGAGGACCUCGUAAAAGCAUCUUUUCUCCGACGACAAUGCCGUUAUCCCCGGGAAAGAAAGAGAAGUAG